CAGAAUAGAGUGGACGACUUUGAUGAGUAAGUCGUUCUUGUACGUAAAGGACAAAAACUUCUCUUAUCAUGACAUACACAGCGCACUGGGGUAUGGCUUUGAGCUUCAAUUCCGCAUUCCCAUAAUCAGUUCAGGUUUGUGAAUUACUUGCUAUAUUCCAAGUCUACAAUUUGUAACUCGAAAAUUUCUGAAUUUCUCCAGAUGUCACCUGUUUAGAUCUAUGAAUUUUUGUUGUGCUUUAGUUCCCAUUUUAAAUCAAGGUAUGUUUAUAUUUGUUUUUGUUUAGUUUUACUUCAGGCAUAUGUGAAAUAUUAUUUGAAAAUAAAAAUCAUAUCAAUUUUAAAUAAUAAUUUUAUUACUUGUAUUUUGUCUGGCUACUUUAAUUCCCUUCUCUCUUCUUCACCUUCCUCAUAUGAAGUAAUCUACUGAUUAGUCAACCAUUAAGCAGGGCAGAGUAUAUAUAUAUCUGUGCUUCGAAAGUUCAAUGUCAAGCCUUUCAUUUUAGUCACUUUUUCUUGUAUAUUUACGGUUGGCUGAUAUUCGGUAAUAGUUUGCAUAUUCCUUUAGUGCAGAAUUGUAUUUCCUAUCAGUCAGUAGAAGGGAAAAAAAAAAAAGGAAGAAGUAAAGAGGAAGGUUAUGACGCACAUAUAUUAUAUCCAAUAAAGCAUGUCAUUUGUGAUUCUUUUUGUGAUGUUGCUUUGCAGGAGCAUAUUUCCCAAUAAGAUCUAUAUUUGGGGUUCCAUUUCUGGCUGCACGUCUAAUCUACAAACGGCGAAAAAUGCAAGAAAGGAAAAGAAGUAUGGGAUGGAAUAGCAAACAAGAAGAUGGAAUUCACAUGCUUGUAAGGUGUCAUCCACUCCGAAGAAGCUCAAAUUCAAUGCAUAUUAUCUAAAAGAUGAUGAAAGUCACAAGGAAAGGAAGAAAAAGAGAAAACAAUUCAACAAUGGAACUGAUUCCAACCACACUAACAUAGGCAAGAUGAAGUGGGAGUUAGGUAUUGCAUUAAAAUAGGAAUGAUGGUAUUGGAAUCAUCAUGAUGUUUCUCCUUCUUAGCCCUAAAUAGAGAAGUCUUCAAGCUUCAAAAUAGACACCAAGUUCACAAUCUUCUCUUAGCUCUCUCUCCUUCCUCCAAUUCUUCUAGUUCUAAAUUUCUGUUUUUGUUUUAUUUUAUGGGGAACUAACUCCCUAGCUAAGGAUAGGGAGAAAGCUUUUAAUAUGAGUGUGUAUAAUUUUUAUUAGUUUGAUCCAAAC
RNAcentral lists this long non-coding RNA (1251 nucleotides) under Prunus persica (peach). RNAcentral describes it as "long non-coding RNA (PPER_LNC002479)". Lineage: Eukaryota; Viridiplantae; Streptophyta; Magnoliopsida; Rosales; Rosaceae. The record is from RNAcentral.